ACCACCACGGUGAAACAGCCUACCAAUAACANNAACAGAGCCGGCAUCAGNGCAAUCUGCCCAUAACGCCAAGCAACCNNNAGCCACACCCUCACGGGCCUGCAGCAGUACUUAAUAUUGGGCUAUAAGCGGAANNNNNGCUUGACCUAAUAACGGGGCCNANCCANGGGCCGGUUAAUCUCNGUGCCAGCGACCGCGGUUACACGACAGACCCGAGAUAACAUAAUCGGCGUAAAGCACGACUAGAAUAANAGUCANCCAUAUNNUAGAGCUGAAGAANAAACUGGGCUGUAAAAAGCCAUAAGCCACCCNAAACUACAACCUCNUAAUAANCUAANCUACUUUCACUCAUGAAAGCGGGGGUACAAACUAGGAUUAGAUACCCUACUAUGCCCCGCUGUAACCCAACAAUCAAAUAACCAAUUGUUCGCCAAAUGACUACGAGUAAAAACUUAAAAUUUAAAAGACUUGACGGUACUUCACAACAGCCUAGAGGAGCCUGUCUAAUAACCGAUAAUCCACGAUUAACCCCACCCGUUUUUGCCCAANCAGUCUAUAUACCGCCGUCGCCAGCUUACCUUGUAAAAGAAACAAANGCAAGCCAAAUAGCACNCACCCUAAUACGACAGGUCGAGGUGUAACAAAUAAACGGGACAAAGAUGGGCUACAUUUUCUUUACAAGAAUAAACGAAUAUANGUGUGAAAUAACAACCUAAAGGCGGAUUUAGUAGUAAGAUGAGAACAUNAACACCCAUCUGAAACCAAUGCAAUGAAGUGCGUACACACCGCCCGUCAUCCCUGUGAAAUAACAAAAAUACUCCAUAAACAAACAUACNUACCUANAAACAGGGCAAGUCGUAACAC
This 864-nucleotide ribosomal RNA is filed under the name Pseudoferania polylepis (Macleay's water snake). Its description in RNAcentral is "partial 12S ribosomal RNA". The record is from RNAcentral. Lineage: Eukaryota; Metazoa; Chordata; Lepidosauria; Squamata; Homalopsidae.